This 424-nucleotide ribosomal RNA is filed under the name uncultured bacterium. RNAcentral describes it as "bacterial SSU rRNA". It matches the Rfam family "Bacterial small subunit ribosomal RNA", at positions 355 to 776 of the family's 1533-position model. The record is from RNAcentral.
UGAGGAAUAUUGGUCAAUGGGCGCAAGCCUGAACCAGCCAUCCCGCGUGCAGGAUGACGGCCCUAUGGGUUGUAAACUGCUUUUAUACAGGAAGAAAAAUCUCUACGUGUAGGGACUUGCCGGUACUGUAUGAAUAAGCAUCGGCUAACUCCGUGCCAGCAGCCGCGGUAAUACGGAGGAUGCAAGCGUUAUCCGGAUUCAUUGGGUUUAAAGGGUGCGUAGGCGGCUUUUUAAGUCAGUGGUGAAAUCCUGCCGCUUAACGGUAGAAUUGCCAUUGAUACUGAAGAGCUUGAGUACAAUUGAGGUAAGCGGAAUGUGUAGUGUAGCGGUGAAAUGCUUAGAUAUUACACAGAACACCAAUUGCGAAGGCAGCUUACUAAACUGUCACUGACGCUGAUGCACGAAAGCGUGGGGAGCGAACAGG